Molecule: ribosomal RNA, 321 nt
Filed under: Enterobacter cloacae
Lineage: Bacteria; Pseudomonadati; Pseudomonadota; Gammaproteobacteria; Enterobacterales; Enterobacteriaceae
Description: bacterial SSU rRNA
Rfam family: Bacterial small subunit ribosomal RNA
Source: RNAcentral
CCGCAAGGUUAAAACUCAAAUGAAUUGACGGGGGCCCGCACAAGCGGUGGAGCAUGUGGUUUAAUUCGAUGCAACGCGAAGAACCUUACCUGGUCUUGGACAUCCACAGGAACUUACCAGAGAUGCAUUGGUGCCUUCGGGAACUGUGAGACAGGUGCUGCAUGGCUGUCGUCAGCUCGUGUUGGGAAAUGUUGGGUUAAGUCCCGCAACGAGCGCAACCCUUAUCCUUUGUUGCCAGCGGUGCCGGCCGGGAACUCAAAGCAGACUGCCAGUGAUAAACUGGAGGAAGGUGGUGAUGACGUCUAGUCAUCAUGAACCCUU